Molecule: ribosomal RNA, 433 nt
Filed under: uncultured bacterium
Lineage: Bacteria
Description: partial 16S ribosomal RNA
Rfam family: Bacterial small subunit ribosomal RNA
Source: RNAcentral
AACGAACGCUGGCGGCAUGCCUAACACAUGCAAGUCGAACGAGACCUUCGGGUCUAGUGGCGCACGGGUGCGUAACGCGUGGGAACCUGCCCUUAGGUUCGGAAUAACUCCCCGAAAGGGGUGCUAAUACCGGAUAACGUCUUCGGACCAAAGAUUUAUCGCCUUUGGAUGGGCCCGCGUUGGAUUAGCUUGUUGGUAGGGUAAAAGCCUACCAAGGCGACGAUCCAUAGCUGGUCUGAGAGGAUGGUCAGCCACACUGGGACUGAGACACGGCCCAGACUCCUACGGGAGGCAGCAGUGGGGAAUAUUGGACAAUGGGCGAAAGCCUGAUCCAGCAAUGCCGCGUGAGUGAUGAAGGCCUUAGGGUUGUAAAGCUCUUUUACCCGGGAUGAUAAUGACGGUACCGGGAGAAUAAGCUCCGGCUAACUCCGUG